This 61-nucleotide transfer RNA is filed under the name Marmota marmota marmota (Alpine marmot). It matches the Rfam family "tRNA", at positions 6 to 65 of the family's 71-position model. From Rfam's summary of the family: Transfer RNA (tRNA) molecules are approximately 80 nucleotides in length. Their secondary structure includes four short double-helical elements and three loops (D, anti-codon, and T loops). Lineage: Eukaryota; Metazoa; Chordata; Mammalia; Rodentia; Sciuridae. The record is from Rfam by way of RNAcentral. RNAcentral also lists the same sequence under 4 other names.
UGUAGCUCAGUGGUAGAGCACUUGCCUAGCAUGUGCAAGGUUCUGGGUUCAAUUCCCAGUA